Cornus florida is the source of this 118-nucleotide small nucleolar RNA. RefSeq annotates it as small nucleolar RNA Z278. The transcript has a single exon. The record is from RefSeq and is a predicted model, not a curated record. NCBI's taxonomy places the organism in Eukaryota, Viridiplantae, Streptophyta, Magnoliopsida, Cornales, Cornaceae.
GCCUGUGAGGAUUUAAUCCAUUUGUAUGAGGUGUAGUUGAGCCAAGUCCUUGUUUUUACAAGGAGAACCUACUUGGUUAAGCUACAUUUCACAUGAUAUUACUGGAUUUUACUCAGGC